UCACCCCCGUUUGGCACAUGCCGAAAUUGAAUCUUAGCCCUUAAUCUUGCCGGCUAAUUGUACUAGAGAACUUGAACCGUUGAUGCCUUAUCUAUACUCUGCAACGUCACAACUACCCACUUUGGCACCGUAGGCGACUUGAUCUCUAUAUAUCAUGCCAAAUCAGAAGCAAGAACUCGCUCAAGUACUUAUUUUUUAAUAUAGUGCACUCGAAGCUAGCAAAGAUCUUUUCUGACUUGAAGAAUAUGAAAACUCUUGCUGGCGCAGGUAUUUAGGCCUACUUCAGUUUCUUUUUUGAGAAGGGCCAACUUCAGUUGAAUAUCAUUUAUAAUUCUUUUUUUAAUAUAUGCAUUUAUGAAUAUAUUUUUCAAUAUAAAAUUUUUAGGUAUGAGCGAUCCGUCAGAAGGUUUGGUACUCCCUUCUAGUAUUGCUGAUGAUGAUGUUGGAAAUGACAAUCUUGAUCUUAUUGUUAUUCCUCAAUAUGGGAGAAAUCCUGAUUAUUAUGGGUAAGUGUCUGCAAUCUGGAUGAUGAUAUAUGUAAUUAAAUAAAAGGAUGGGUACAGUUAUUACCUAUCAAUCAUAAGAGUGUCAAUUUAGUUCAGUUCACUAAUAAAAAUCUCUUAUACAAGAGAUUAUCUUUGUUUGCGUUCAUGUACUUUGUCUUCUUUAAUUAAUAAAUAAAAUUAUUGUGUAUCAAUGUGUUGAUUAAAUUAGUCCAUUAAUAGAUAUAAAAUCAUUUGAAUUUGUCCACAUAUUAGUUUAGUUAAUUGUGCUCUCUUUCUUCUUGAAUAUUUGUUAAACAAAGUCUACCUAUUAGUUAGCUAAAAAUUGCAGCUCGCAGGGAACCAAGAUCUUUAAAAUUAAUUACGAACGUUUAUGCUUCUUAAAUGGCUUGUGUCAUCGUGAUAAUGCCAUU
RNAcentral lists this long non-coding RNA (916 nucleotides) under Citrus maxima (pomelo). Its description in RNAcentral is "long non-coding RNA (CMAX_LNC004422)". Lineage: Eukaryota; Viridiplantae; Streptophyta; Magnoliopsida; Sapindales; Rutaceae. The record is from RNAcentral.